This 22995-nucleotide long non-coding RNA is filed under the name Triticum aestivum (bread wheat). RNAcentral describes it as "long non-coding RNA (TAES_LNC026247)". The stretch from base 22284 to 22418 matches the Rfam family "MIR1120/MIR1122 microRNA precursor family". Lineage: Eukaryota; Viridiplantae; Streptophyta; Magnoliopsida; Poales; Poaceae. The record is from RNAcentral.
AAUAUGCACCCUAGCCAAUCAUUUAUGAGUUUGAAAACUAUAUUAGAAAACAAGAUCACUUCAAUGCAAAGGUUAUGAAACAAUUGAAAUACAAUUUUGAUAUGAUUGCUUGCUUAAGUGACUUAUUAUUUAGAAUCUCAAAUGACGUUAGAGGUGUUGGAAAGCAUGCUUCUAUGGUUCAAACCCAAUUAGAACAAGUUCCUAAGUCUCAAAGAGAAUUGCUUGAUGAAAUGAAUAAUAAUAUACAUGACUUUGCUGUUAGAGUUGUAACUAGAGGAGGUGCAAUGACUCUGGAACCACUUUAACCUGAGGGACACCUACAAAGAAUUGAACAAGGUUCACAAAGGAACAACACUAGUGCACCUAGUCCUUCUAAAAAGAAAAAGAAAAAGAAAAAUGAUAGGACUUUGCAUGCUCCAAGUGAACCCGAAAUAGAAAAACCUCCUGAUAAUGAUAAUGAAACUUCUAUCUCCGACGUUGAAACUUAGUCUGGUAAUGAACAUUCACCUAGUGAUAAUGAAAAAGAUAAUGCUGAUGUUAAUGAGGACUCUCAACCUAAUAAUGAAAAAGAACCAGACAAUGAUGUUGAGAUAGAACCAUGAUCUUGAUAACCCACAACCUAAGAAUAAAAGGUAUGUUAAAAAAGACUUUGUAGCUAGAAAACACGGUAAAUAAAGAGAACCGUGGGUUCAAAAACCAAUGCCUUUCCCAUCUAAGUCAACUAAAAAUAAUGAUGAUGAAUAAUUUGAACGCUUUGCUGAAAUGCCGAGGCCAGUCUUUUUGCGUACUCGCUUGACUGAUAUCCUUAAAAUGCCUCCUUAUGAAAAGUAUAUGAAAGACAUCAUCACUAAAAAAAGAAAAAGACCGGAAGAUGAAAUCUCCACUAUGCUUGCUAACUAUACUUUUAAAGAUGGAGUACCUAAAAAACUUGGAGAGCCAGGAAUACCAACUAUACCUUGCUCCAUCAAAAAGAAUUAUGUGAAAACUGCUUUGUGUGAUUUAGGAGCUGGUGUUAGUGUUAUGCCUUUCUCUUUAUAUAAAAGACUUGAUUUGAAUAAACUCACACCUACUGAAAUAUCUUUGCAAAUGGCUGACAAAUCAACUGACAUACCUAUCGGUAUCUGUGAGGAUGUGCCCAUUGUUGUUGCUAAUGUUACUUUUUUGACCGACUUUGUUAUACUUGAGAUGCCCAAGGACGACAACAUGUCAAUUAUCCUUGGUAGACCCUUCCUGAAUACUGCAGGGCCUAUUAUUGAUUGCAAUAUAAGCAAGGUCACUUUUCAUAUCAAUGGUAAUGAUUAUACGGUGCACUUUCCGAAGAAACAAUUCCAAGUGAAUGGUAUUAAUGUUAUUGAAAAAUCUCCGACAAUCACUAUUGGAAGUUUUCAAAUACCUCUACCUACUGUCAAAAAGUAAUAUGAAAUGCUUAUUGUUGGGGACAUUCAUAUCCCUGUUGAGGUAACUUAGUGAUUUAUGAAAGUUCUUCGGUUUCAUGCUAAUCGAAAGUGGUUGUUAAUAAGACCUGAUCAACCUUAUUAAUGGGUCAUUUUGAGCGGUAUGAAGUUAAUGGAUCAUUUUGUGACGUUUGGUAGAACACAAAGUGUUCCUCCGGUAAUUGGGAGUUGCAUAAUCUCAUAGUCAUAGGAACAUGUAUAAGUCAUGAAGAAGGCAAUAGCAGUAAACUAAAACGAUCAAGUGCUAAGCUAACGGAAUUGGUCAAGUCAAUCACAUCAUUCUCCUAAUGAUGUGAUCCCAUUAAUCAAAUGACAACUCAAGUCUAUGGUUAGGAAACUUAACCAUCUUUUAUUAACGAGCUAGUCAAGUAGAGGCAUACUAGUGACACUAUGUUUGUCUAUGUAUUCACACAUGUAUUAUGUUUCCAGUUAAUACAAUUCUAGCAUGAAUAAUAAACAUUUAUCCUGAAAUAAGGAAAUAAAUAAUAACUUUAUUAUUGCCUCUAGGGCAUAUUUCCUUCAAUCUCCCACUUGCACUAGAGUCUAUAAUCUAGUUCACAUCUUUAUGUGAUUAGUUCACAUCUCCAUGUGACUAAUACCCAAAGGGUUUACUAGAGUCAAUAAUCUAGUUCACAUUGCUAUGUGAUUAAUACCCAAAGAGUGAUCAUGUUUUGCUUGUGAGAGAAGUUUAGUCUAUGGGUCUGCCACAUUCAGAUCCGUAUGUAUUUUGCAAAUUUCUAUGUCAACAAUGCUCUGCACGCAGCUACUCUAGCUAAUUGCUCCCACUUUCAAAAUGUAUCCAGAUUGAGACUUAGAGUCAUCUAGAUCAGUGUCAAAAUUUGCAUCGACGUAACCCUUUAGGACGAACCUUUUGUCACCUCCAUAAUCGAGAAACAUAUCCUUAUUCCACUAAGGAUAAUUUUGACCGUUGUCCAGUGAUCUACUCCUAGAUCACUAUUGUACUCCCUUGCUAAACUCAGUGUAGGGUAUACAAUAGAUCUGGUACAUAGCAUGGCAUACUUUAUAGAAACUAUGGCUGAGGCAUAGGGAAUGAAUUUCAUUCUCUUUCUAUCUUCUGCCAUGGUCGGGCUUUGAGUCUUACUCAAUUUCACACCUUGUAACACAGGUAAGAACACUUUCUUUGACUGUUCCAUUUUGAACUACUUCAAAAUCUUGUCAAGGUAUGUACUCAUUGAAAAAACUUAUCAAGCGUCUUGAUCCAUCUAUAUAGAUCUUGAUGCUUAAUAUGUAAGUAGCUUUACCGAGGUCUUUAUUUGAAAAACUCCUUUCAAAUACUCCUUUAUGCUUUCUAGAAAAUUCUACAUUAUUUCCGAUCAACAAUAUGUCAUUCACAUAUUUAUCAGAAAUGUUGUAGUGCUCCCAUUCACUUUCUUGUAAAUACAGGCUUCACUACAAGUCUGUAUAAAACUAUAUGCUUUGAUCAACUCAUCAAAGCGUAUAUUCCAACUCUGAGAUGCUUGCACCAGUCCAUAGAUGGAUCGCUGGAGCUUGCACAUUUUGUUAGCACCUUUAGGAUCGACAAAACCUUCUGGUUGCAUCAUAUACAACUCUUCUUUAAGAAAUCCAUUAAGGAAUGUAGUUUUGACAUCCAUUUGCUAGAUUUCAUAAAAUGUGGCAAUUUGCUAACAUGAUUCGGACAGAUUUAAGCAUCGCUACGAGUGAGAAAAUCUCAUCAUAGUCAACUCCUUGAACUUUGUCAAAACCUUUUUUGACAAGUCUAGCUUUGUAGAUAGUAACACUACUAUCAGCGUCCGUCUUCCUCUUGAAGAUCCAUUUAUUUCUAUGGCUUGCCGAUCAUCGGGCAAGUCAACAAAAGUCCACACUGUGUUCUUAUACAUGGAUCCCAUCUCAGAUUUCAUGGCCUCAAGCCAUUUCGCGGAAUCUGGGCUCAUCAUCGCUUCCUCAUAGUUCGUAGGCUCGUCAUGGUCAAGUAACAUGACAACCAGAACAGGAUUACCGUACCACUCUGGUGCGGAUCUCACUCUGGUUUACCUACGAGGUUCGGUAGUAACUUGAUCUGAAGUUACAUGAUCAUCAUCAUUAGCUUCCUCACUAAUUGGUGUAGCAGUCACGGGAACAGAUUUCUAUGAUGAACUACAUUCCAAUAAGGGAGCAGGUACAGUUACCUCAUCAAGUUCUACUUUCCUCCCACUCACUUCUUUCGAGAGAAACUCCUUCUCUAGAAAGGAUCCAUUCUUAGCAACGAAUGUCUUGCCUUCGGAUAUGUGAUAGAAGGUGUACCCAACUAUCUCCUUUGGGUAUCCUAUGAAGACACAUUUCUCCGAUCUGGGUUUGAGCUUAUCAAGAUGAAACUUUUUCACAUAAGCAUCACAACCCCAAAUUUUAAGAAACGAUAGCUUAGGUUUCUUGCUAAACCAUAGUUCAUAAGGUGUCGUCUCAACGGAUUUAGAUGGUGCCCUUUUUAAUGUGAAUGCAGCUGUCUCUAAUGCAUAACCCCAAAACGAUAGUGGUAAAUCGGUAAGAGACAUCAUAGAUUGCACCAUAUCUAAUAUAGUACGGUUACGAUGUUCGGACACACCAUUACGCUGUGGUGUUGUAGGUGGCGUGAGUUGCGAAACUAUUCCACAUUGUAUCAAAUGAAGACCAAAGUUGUAACUCAAAUAUUCUCCUCCACGAUCAGAUUGUAGAAACUUUAUUUUCUUGUUACAAUGAUUUUCCACUUCACUCUGAAAUUAUUUGAACUUUUCAAAUGUUCCAGAUUUAUGUUUCAUCAAGAAGAUAUACCCAUAUCUUACUCAAAUCAUUUGUGAAGGUGAGAGAAUAAUGAUACCUACCGUGAGCCUCAACACUCAUCGGACUGCAUACAUCAGUAUGUAUUAUUUCCAACAAGUCUGUUGCUUGCUCCAUUGUUCCGGAGAAUGGAGUCUUAGUCAUCUUGCCCAUGAGGCAUGGUUCGCAAGCAUCAACCGAUUCAUAAUCAAGUGAUUCCAAAAGCCCAUCAGCAUGGAUUUUCUUCAUGCGCUUUACACCAAUAUGACCUAAACGGCAGUGCCGCAAAUAAGUUGCACUAUCAUUAUUAACUUUGCAUCUUUUGGCUUCAAUAUUAUGAAUAUGUGUAUCACUACGAUCGAGAUUCAACAAACCAUUUUCAUUGGGUGUAUAACAUAGAAGGUUUUAUUCAUGUAAACAGAAUAACAAUUAUUCUCUAACUUAAAUGAAUAACCAUAGUGCAAUAAACAUGAUCAAAUCAUAUUCAUUCUCAACGCAAACACCAAAUAACACUUAUUUAGGUUCAACACUAAUCCCAAAAGUAUAGGGAGUGUGCGAUGAUGAUCAUAUUAUUCUUGGAACUACUUCCAACACACAUCGUUACUUCACCCUUAACUAGUCUCUGUUCAUUCUGCAACUCCCGUUUCAAGUUACUACUCUUAGCAACUGAACUAGUAUCAAAUACCAAGGGGUUGCUAUAAACACUAGUAAAGUACACAUCAAUAACAUGUAUAUCCAAUAUACCUUUGUUCACUUUGCCAUCAUUCUUAUCCGCCAAAUACUUGGGGCAGUUCCGCUUCGAGUGACUAGUCCCUUUGCAGUAAAAGCACUUAGUCUUAGGCUUAGGUCCAAACUUGGGCUUCUUCACUUGAGCAACAACUUGCUUGCCGUUCUUCUUGAAGUUCCCCUUUUUUCCUUUCCCCUUUUCUUGAAACUAGUGGUCUUGUCAACCAUCAACACUUGAUGCUUUUCUUGAUUUCUACCUUCGUCGAUUUCCGUAUCACGAAGAGCUUGGGAAUCGUUUCCGUUAUCCUUACAUAUUAUAGUUCAUCACGAAGUUCUAGUAACUUGGUGAUAGUGACUAGAGAAUUCUAUCAAUCACUAUCUUAUGUGGAAGAUUAACUCCCACUUGAUUCAAGUGAUUGUAGCACUCAGACAUUCUGAGCUCAUGCUCACUAGCUGAGCUAUUCUCCAUUUUGUAGGCAAAGUACUUGUCAAAGGUCUCAUACCUUUCGACAUGGGCAUGAGUCUGAAAUACUAAUUUCAACUCUUGGAACAUUUUAUAUGCUCCGUGGUGUUCAAAACAUUUUUGAAGUCCCGGUUCUAAGCCGUAAAGCAUGGUGCACUAAACUAUCAAGUAGUCAUCAUACCGAGCUUUGCCAAACAUUCAUAACAUCUGCAUAUGCUCCUGCAAUAGGUCCGUCACCUAGCGGUGCAUCAAGGACAUAAUUCUUCUGAGCAGCAAUGAGGAUAAUCCUUGGAUCACGGAUCCAAUCCGCAUCAUUGCUACUAACAUCUUUCAAUUUAUUUUUCUCUAGGAACAUAUCAAAAAUAAAUGGGGAAGCUAUGUGCGAGCUAUUGAUCUACAACAUAGAUAUGCAAAUACUAUCAGGACUAAGUUAAUUAUAAAUUUAAGUUCAAUUAAUCAUAUUACUUAAGAACUCCCACUUAGAUAGACAUCCCUCUAGUCAUCUAAAUGAUCACGUGAUCCAAAUCAACUAAACCAUGUCUGAUCAUCACGUGAGAUGGAGUAGUUUCAAUGGUGAACAUCACUAUGUUGAUCAUAUCUACUAUAUGAUUCAGGCUCGACCUUUCUGUCUCAGUGUUUCGAGGCCAUAUCUGCAUAUGCUAGGCUCAUUAAGUUUAACCUGAGUAUUCCGCGUGUGCAACUGUUUUGCACCCGUUGUAUUUGAACAUAGAGCUUAUCACACCCGAUCAUCACGUGGUGUCUCAGCACGAAGAACUUUUGCAAUGGUGCAUACUCAGGGAGAACACUUAUACCUUGAAAUUUUAGUAAGGGAUCAUCUUAUAAAGCUAUCGUCGAACUAAGCAAAAUAAGAUCCAUAAAAGAUAAACAUCACAUGCAAUCAAAUAUGUGACAUGAUAUGGACAUCAUUAUCUUGUGCCUUUGAUCUCCAUCUCCAAAGCAUCAUCAUGAUCUCCACCGUCACCAGCAUGACACCAUGAUCUCCAUCAUCUUGAUCUAUAUCAAUGUGUCUGCUAUGUGGCUGCUACGGGCUGAGCAAGAAUCGUUCUUACCUACGCAUCAAAACCACAAUGAUAGUUCGUCAAGUUAGUGUUGUUUAAACCUUCUCAAGGACCGGGCGUAGCCACACUCGGUUCAACUAAAGUUGGAGAAACUGACACCCGCCAGCCACCUGUGUGCAAAGCACGUCGAUAGAACCAGUCUCGCGUAAGCGUACGCGUAAUGUCGGUCCGGGCCGCUUCAUCCAACAAUACCGCCGAACCAAAGUAUGACAUGCUGGUAAGCAGUAUGACUUGCAUCGCCCACAACUCACUUGUGUUCUACUCGUGCAUAUAACAUCUACGCAUAAAACCUGGCUCGGAUGCCACUGUUGGGGAAUGUAGUAAUUUCAAAAAAAUUCCUACGCACAAACAGGAUCAUGGUGAUGCAUAGCAACGAGAGGGGAGAGUGUUGUCUACAUACCUUCGUAGACCGAAAGCGGAAGCGUUAGCACAACGCGGUUGAUGUAGUCGUACGUCUUCAUGAUCCGACCGAUCCAAGUACCGAACGUACGGCACCUCCGAGUUCAACACACGUUCAGCUCGAUGACGUCCCAUGAACUCUGAUCUAGCAGAGCUUCACGGGAGAGUUCUGCCAGCACGAUAGCGUGGUGACGGUGAUGAUGUUGCUACCGACGCAGGGCUUCGCCUAAGCACCUCUACGAUAUGAUUGAGGUGGAAUAUGGUGGAGGGGGGCACCGCACACGACUAAGAGAUCAAGAGAUCAAUUGUUGUGUCUAGAGGUGACCCCCUGCGCCCGUAUAUAAAGGACCAGGGGGGAGGAUCUGAUGGCCUGACUUAUUAGGAAUGAUAGACUACUCAUAUCAAUAAGGAAUUCCUUCUUUUCCGGUAUCCCAUUCGGACAGAACUCCAAAGUUAAGUGUGCUCAGCUUGGAGUAGUGUCAGGAUGGGUGACCGACCGGGAAGUUGCUCCCGGGUGCGCACGAGUGAGGACAAAGUGCGCAAAAAAGACUAGUAUUGAUCUAUGGGGCCAGUCUAGAUCCCGCCAGGAGUAACGACCACCGGCGGGUGUGUCCGGGGUGUUACAAGUUGGUAUCAGAGCCGACCCUCGCGGCUACACGGAUGGUUGCGGACAGGUGCGCGGUCAUGUUGUUCAUGACGUUUGUGACCCGUCGUGGCACACGGCAUGGCACAUGUACCAGAAUGGAUGCGCAGACGGUUGUGCCAAGAGGGAACGUUCCUGUGGCCCGACGAGGACGUCGGUUCCUCUGAGUGGGGGUGUAUCUGAUGGCCUGGCUUAUUAGGAAUGAUACACUACUCAUAUCAAUAAGGAAUUCCUUCUUUUUCGGUAGCCCAUUUGGACAGAACUCCAAAGUUAAGCGUGCUCAGCUUGGAGUAGUGUCAGGAUGGGUGACCGACCGGGAAGUUGCUCCCGGGUGCGCACGAGUGAGGACAAAGUGCGCAGAAAAGACUAGUAUUAAUCUAUGGGACCAGUCUACAUCCCGCCAGGAGUAACGACCACCGGCGGGUGUGUCCGGGGUGUUACAAAGGAGGCGGGCGGCCAGGGGAGGGCGCGCCAAGGAGGAGUCCUACUCCCACCGGGAGUAGGACUCCCUCUUUUCCUAGUUGGAGUAGGAGGGGGAAAGGAAGGGAAGGAGAGAGAGGAAGGAAAGGGGGGCGCCGCCCCCCUCCUUGUCCAAUUUGGACUAGAGGGGGAGGGGGCGCACGGCCUGCCCUAGCCGCCCCUCCUCUUCUCCACUAAAGCCCAUCUUGGCCCAUUAAACUCCCCAGGGGGUUCCGGUAACCCCCCGGUAUUCCGGUAUAUGUCCGAAACUCCCCGAAACCAAUCCAGUGUCCGAACAUAGUCGUCCAAUAUAUCGAUCUUUAUGUCUCGACCAUUUCGAGACUCCUCGUCAUGUCCAUGAUCACAUCUGGGACUCCGAACUACCUUCGGUACAUCAAAACACAAAAACUCAUAAUAUAAUCGUCACCGAAACUUUAAGCGUGCGGACCAUACGGGUUUGAGAACUAUGUAGACAUGACCGAGACAUGUCUCCGGUCAAUAACCAAUAGCGGAACCUGGAUGCUCAUAUUGGCUCCUACAUAUUCUACGAAGAUCUUUAUCGGUAAAACCGCAUAACAACAUACGUUGUUCCCUUUGUCAUUGGUAUGUUACUUGCCCGAGAUUUGAUCGUCAGUAUCUCAAUACCUAGUUCAAUCUCGUUACCGGCAAGUCUCUUUAAUCGUUUCGUAAUACAUCAUACCGCAACUAACUUAUUAGUUACAAUGCUUGCAAGGCUUAUAGUGAUGUGCAUUACCGAGUGGGCCCAGACAUACCUCUCCGACAAUCGGAGUGACAAAUCCUAAUCUCGAAAUACCCCAACCCAACAAGUACCUUCGGAGACACGUGUAAAGCACCUUUAUAAUCACCCAGUUACGUUGUGACGUUUGGUAGCACACAAAGUGUUCCUCCGGUAAUCGGGAGUUGCAUAGUCUCAUAGUCAUAGGAACAUGUAUAAGUCAUGAAGAAAGCAAUAGCAGUAAACUAAAACGAUCAAGUGCUAAGAUAACAGAAUUGGUCAAGUCAAUCACAUCAUUCUCCUAAUGAUGUGAUCCCGUUAAUCAAAUGGCAAGUCAUGUCUAUGGUUAGGAAACUUAACCAUCUUUGAUUAACGAGCUAGUCAAGUAGAGGCAUACUAGUGACACUAUGUUUGUCUAUGUAUUCACACAUGUAUUAUGUUUCUGGUUAAUACAAUUCUAGCAUGAAUAAUAAACAUUUAUCAUGAAAUAAGGAAAUAAAUAAUAACUUUAUUAUUGCCUCUAGGGAAUAUUUCCUUCAGUUCUAUAUAACCUGGUUUUUAGCGUCAUCACUCGUGAUGUUAUUCCAUUGCCUGCUCCUGCUUUGUUUGAUCUUGUUGCCAUGGGCGGAUAUAGGAUUAUGUCUGCACACAUCAUCGCCUAUCAGAACGAUUAGGCUGCUGCAGAGGAGGAGGAAGAGCCUCAGCAGUUGGACCAGUGGAUGCCCGCUCCCGAGUACCCCAACUACUACCCAGGCUUCUGAUUAAUUACCAAGUUAGGCCAAAAGCCUAAGCUUGGGGGAGUACAUGUUUCUCACCGACAUUACAUUCAUUCUCGCUUAUUCCAUUUGUCGGUGUUCACACUUUUUCAUUGUAUCAUCCAUGCUUGAUUUUAUUUUCUCACUUUCUUCUUGUGUGUUUGAAAAACCCUUAGAAAAACCAAAAAAAUUAGUUGUAGCUAGUUUACUUUCUAUGCAUGCUUAGCUGUAGUAUUAAAAAGAAAACCCAAAAAUAUUUCCUUGUUCUUCUUUUGCUUGUUGGGAGCUUCCCUGUGUAAAUAUUUUUUCUCAUUUUUGCUUUUCCCUUUUAAUUGCUUGUUCAAGAAAACCAAAAACUCCAAAAAUAUUUCAGUGUGUUCCUCUGAGUUUCUUUUCUUCUUAUUCGAGUCUUACCGAGGAGAAGACCAUGAUGAAAAUGUUGAGUGGCUCUCAUAUGAAUAACUGUUGAUCUAAUAAAGAGUCCAUUUUACCUUGUCUUCUCCUGUUGAAUAAAAUGUUUGCAGAUUCCAGCUUAGUCCAUGACACUCUUGCACUAUUAUUAUUUUCAUAUCAUUCGGUUGUGCAAGUGAAAGACAAUAAUGACGAUAUUCGAUGAACUGGUCGUGGUAGAGAGAAACUGAUAUGAACUCGACUUGUUCUGUUUGUGUAAAUAUGCUUAACCUAGUAUCCAUGAUUCAGCCCAUUAUGAUUAAACAUGUUUGCAAUGACAAUUAGAGAUUAUAGUUUCUCAUGCCAUGUAUAAGUAGCUGGGAGUGGAUAAUGAUUUAUCUUGGAUAUCAACAUUGCGUUAAAAUGAUUGUGAUGUAGUAUGAUGAUAUGGUAUCCUCCUCUGAAUGUUUGAGUGGCUUGACUUGGCACAUGUUCAUGCAUGUAGUUGAAUCAAAACCAACAUAGACUCUAUGAUAUUUAUGUUCAUGGUGUUCAUAUCCUACUCAUGCUAGUGUCCAAUGUUACUUACGCAUAAUACAUGUUCAUGACUGUUGUUUCUCUCUAGCUGGCCGCUUCUCAAUCUAAUUGCUAGCCUUCACCUGUACUAAGUGGAAAUUCUGCUUGUACAUCAAAAACCUUGAACCCAAAAGUUAUUCUAGAUGAGUCCACCAUACGUACAUAUAUGCGGUAUUACCCUGCCAUCCUAAGUAAAUUUGCAUGUGCCACCUCUAAAAACUUCUAAAAAAUAUCAUUUUUGUGUGCCUGGAUCGUUCAUGGAAUGACAGGAGGUAGUCGGUAUCUUCCAUGCUAAGAGGGUUAUUCUUAGAUAGAGUGCUUAUUCACUCGCCAUCGCACGAGAAAAGGGCGGUAAUAGGGAUGCCCAGUCCCAAACUACAAACAGAAAAGGCUUACAAAUAAUCAAACAAAAACUCCCAAUGGAGUCAAAACCUUUACUUUUAUCGCUUGGGAACCGCCACUAGCGUGCUUAGCAUGGAAGAUAUUGAUAACUAAUAGUCGUGAAGUAAAUGAGAAGGGUGCAUGUCUCAAAAUAUCAUUUACCUCUGUUUUAAAAACUUGAGCUCUGGCAUCUCUGCAAAUCACUGCUUCCCUCUGCGAAGGGACUAUCUAUUUACUUUUAUGUUGUGUCAUCACCUUAUAAAAUAAGCUCCAGAACCUAAGAGCACUGUUGUCAUGACUUAUGCAUUGUGUGUAGCUAAUGUUGGGUGCAUCAUGACUGGAUCUUUUCUACCAUGAAUUACAAUGUUUAGUCGAUGCUCGAACUUUGGAGGUGCUCUGCAUUUAUGUUUUGCGGUCUCAGAAAGGGCUAGCGAGAUACCACUAUUGUCAUAUUAUAUCAUGUUGUUUUGACAACAUUUUGUCGUUUGAGAUAUCUUAUUAUUUCUUGCUAGCUGAUUAUGUCAUUGGUAUGAGUUAAUAUAAUCUUUAAGAGUUAUUGUCGGCAUGGUUAGUUAUGAUGUUGGCUGAAAACCUGGGUGCUGUUUAAGCUUAUUUAUGCAAACAAGAGCAAAAGAGUUCGUAAAAGUUUUUCUUUUUCACUUUCAGUUUAUCAACUGAAUUGCUUGAGGACAAGCAAAGGUUUAAGCUUGGGGGAGUUGAUACCUCUCCAACGUAUCUACUUUUCCUAACGCUUUUUCCUCUUGUUUUGGACUCUAAUUUGCAUGAUUUGAAUAAAACUAACCCCGGAUUGAUGCUAUUUUCAGUAGAACUACCAUGGUGUUGUUUUUGUGCAGAAAUAAAAGUCCUCGGAAUGGAAGGAAACUUUGCGAGGAAUUUUUAUACAAUAAACAAGAAUUUCUGGAGCCAAGACCUACCGGAGGGGGCACCUGGGUGGGCACAACCCACCAGGGCACACCCCCUCCUGGCGUGCCCAGGCGGGUUGUCCCCACCUGGUGGCCCCAUAAACCCUGAUUACAACUCCAUAAAUACCUAUUUUUCCAGAAAAAAAUCUGGGAGAAAGAAUUAUCACGAUCCACGAGACAGAGCCAUCGUCACCUCCUAUUCUUCAUUGGGAGGCUAGAUCUGGAGUCCGUUUGGGGCUCCAGAGAGGGGGAUCUUCGUUCUUCCUCAUCACCAACCCUUCUCCAUCACCAAUUCCAUGAUGCUCCCCACCGGGAGUGAGUAAUUCCCUUGUAGGCUCGCUGGUCGGUAAGGAGUUGGAUGAGAUUCAUCAUGUAAUUGAGUUAGUUUUGUUGGGGCUUGAUCCCUAGUAUACACUAUGUUCUAAGAUUGAUGUUGCUAUGACUUUGCCAUGCUUAAUGCUUGUCACUUUGGGCCCGGGUGCCAUGAUUUCAUAUCUGAACCGUUUAUGUUAUCAUCAUUAAGAUCCGAUCUUGCAAGUUAUAGUCACCUACUACGUGUUAUGAUCCGGCAACCCCGGAGUGACAAUAGUUGGGACCACUCCCGGUGAUGACCGUAGUUUGAGGAGUUCAUGUAUUCACCAUGUGUUAAUGCUUUGUUCCGGUUAUCUAUUAAAAGGAGGCCUUAAUAUCCCUUAGUUUCCAAUAGGACCCUGCUGCCACGGGAGGGUAGGACAAAAGAUGUCAUGCAAGUUCUUUCCAUACGCACGCAUGACUAUUUACGGAAUACAUGCCUACAUUAUAUUUAUGAACUGGAGCUAGUGCCGUAUCGCCCUAGGUUAUAACUGUCUCAUGAUGAACAUCAUCCAACAAGUCACCGAUCCAAUGCCUAUGAAUUUAUCCUAUAUUGUUCUUGCUAAGUUACUACUGCUAUCAUUACUGUUGCACUUGUUAUGAAACUAUUGCUAUCACUGUUACCGUUACCAUUGCUACUGCUACUAGUAUCAAAACUAUCAUAUUACUUUGCAACUGAUCAUGUUGCUAUAAAUAAUUAAUCUCCAGGUGUGGUUGAAUUGAAAACUCAGCUGCUAAUACCUUCAAAUAUUCUUUGGCUCCCCUUGUAUCGAAUCUAUAAAUUUGGGUUGAAUACUCUACCCUCGAAAACUGUUGUGAUCCCCUAUACUUGUGGGUUAUCAGGAGUGCGACACCUAGCAGUGCAUCAAGGACAUAAGCCUUUUGUGCAGCAAUGAGGAUAAUACUCAAGUUAUGGACCCAGUCCGCAUAGUUGCUUCCAUCAUCUUUCAACUUAGCUUUCCCUAUGAGCGCAUUAAAAUUCAGGGGAACUACAGUGCGGGCCAUUGAUCUACAACACAAAUUUUGCAGAGACAAUUAAGACUAAGUUCAUGAUAAUUAGUUCAGUUAAUCAAAUUACUAAUGUACUCCCACUUAAAUCAACAUCCCUCAAGUUGUCUAAGUGAUACAUGAUCCAAAUCAACUAACCCAUGUCCGAUCAUCACGUGAGAUGGGGUAGUCAUCAAUGGUGAACAUCUCCAUGUUGAUCAUAUCUACUAUAUGGCUCAUGUUCGACCUUCCGGUCUCCUGUGUUCCGAGGCCAUGUCUGUACAUGCUAGGCUCGUGAAGUUUAAUCCAAGUAUUAUGCAUGUGUAAAACUGGCUUACAACUGUUGUAUGCAAACGUAGAGUCUAUCACACCCGAUCAUCAUGAGGUGCUUCAAAACGACGAACUUUUGGAAUGGUGCAUACUUAGGGAGAACACAAUUUCUUGAAAUUAAGUGAAGGGAUCAUCUUAUAAUGCUACCAUCAUCCUAAGAAAAAUAAGAUGCAUAAAAAUAUAAAUAUCACAUGCAAUCAAUAUGUGGCAUGAUCUCCAUCGUCACCGGCAUGACACCAUGAUCUCCAUCAGCGUGUCGUCACGUGGUCGUCUCACCAACUAUUGCUUCUACAACUAUUGCUAACGCAUAGCGAUAAAGUAAAGCAAUUACAUGGCGAUUAAUAAAUUAAAGACAAUCCUAUGGCUCCUACCGGUUGCCGAACUCACCGACAUGCAAGUCAUGAACCUAUUACAAAACAUGAUCAUCUCAUACAUCAACAUAUAUCACAUCACGUUUUUGGCCAUACCACAUCACAACAUGCUCCGUAAAAACAAGUUAGACGUCCUCUACUUUGUUGUUGCAAAUUUUACGUGGCUGCUAUGGGCAACUAGGAAGAACCGUUCUUACCUACGCAAAGCCACAACGGUGAUAAUAAAGCCGCCUUUUAACCUUCUACAAGGACCGUCUUCAUCAAAUUAGAUUCAACUAAAGUAGGAGAGACACACACCCACUAGCCACCUUAUGCAAAACAAGUUGCUUGUCAGUCGAUGGAGCCGGUCUCAUGUGUGAGGACAUGUAAAGUUGCUCCGAGCCGCUUCAUCCCACAAUACCGCCGAAUCCAAAUAAGACAAGAGAGGUAAGCAAUUUGAGCAUCAACACCCAAAACUCUUUGUGUUCUACUCGUGCAUAUACAUCUACUCAUAGACCUAGCUCAUGAUGCCACUGUUAGGGAACGAAGCAUAAAAAAAGUUCGUACGAACACCCAAGAUCUAUCUAGGAGAAGCAUAGCAACGAGAGAGAAGAGUGUGUCUACGUACCCUCGUAGACCGUUAAGAGGAGCGUAUAUCACACGAUUGAUGUAGUCGUACUCGUCACGAUCCUAUUGCAAUCCAAAUCGACGAAGUACCGAACGGAUGACACCUCUGCGUUCAACACACGUACGGCUCGAUGACGUCUCCUCCUCCUUGAUCCAGCAAGCGAUGGAGGAUAAGUAGAUGGGAUCUUCGGCAGCACGACGACAUGACGGUGAUGGUGGUAGAGUGAUUCCGGCAGGGCUACACCGAGCGCUACCGAAACAACCAAAAGACGGAGGAGUUACGAAGUAACGGGAGAGAGAGGGGGGCAAGGGCUUGUGUCUCCUCUUGGGGUGCCCCUUCCCCUAUAUAUAGGUGGAGGGGCAUGGUGGCCAACCCUCCAAGCCCUAGGGCUGGCGCACCAAGGGGGAGGAGUUACUCCUAGUCCAAUCCCCUCCCUUCCAUACACAGGUGGACUUUCCACCUUUCCCAGCCACAUGGGCCUUGAGGGACUUGUGCGCCUGGCCCAAUAAGGCUAGAGCGCCUCCCCUUAGCCCAUGCCGACCCUUGGGACAUGGUGGAACCUUGGUGGACUUCUGGACUCCUCCGAAAGUUUCCGGAACCUUCUGUAAGCUUCCCGGUACAAUACCGAAAUACUGAAACUUUUUCUGGAACCCUAAAAGCAACUUUCCAUAUAUAAAUCUUUACCUCCGGACCAUUUCGGAGCUCCUCAUGACGUCCAGGAUCUCAACCGGGACUCCGAACAAUAUUCGGUCACCAACAUGCAUAUCCCAAUAUUACUCUAGCAUCACCGAACGUUAAGCGUGCAGACCCUACGGGUUCGAGAAUCAUGUAGCCAUGACCGAGACACCUCUUCAAUGAAUAACCAAUAGCAGAACCUAGAUGUCCAUAUUAGUUCCUACAUAUUCCACGUAGAUUUUCUAUCGGUUGAACCACGAUGUCAAGUAUUCCGUUAAUCCCGUAUGCAAUUCCCUUUGUUCGACGAUAUGUUACUUGACCAGAUUCGAUCGUUGGUAUCUCCAUACCUAGUUCAAUCUCGUUAGCGGUUAGUCUCUUUACUCGUUCCGUAAUACAAGAUCUUGUGACUAACUCAUUAGCCACAUUGCUUGCAAGCUCUUUAUGAUGUUGUAUUACCGAGAUGGCCCAAAGAUAUCUCUCCGUCACACGGAGUAACAAGUCCCAGUCUUGAUCCAUGCCAACCCAACAGACACAUUCGGAAAUACCUGUAGAGUAUCUUUGUGACCACCUAGUUAUGAAGUGACGUUUGAUAACAAACAAGGUAUUCCUACGGUAUCUGGGAGUUGCAUGAUCUCAUGGGCUUAGGAAUAGAUACUUGACAUGAAAAAAACUAUACCAAUAAACUCAAGUGAUAGUGAUACGAUCGAAUGCUAAGCUUACGAUUGGGUCUUGUCCAUCACAUUAUUCUCCUAAUGAUUUGAUCCCGUUAUCAAAUGAAAACUCAUGUCUAUGGUUAGGAAACCUUAACCAUCUUUGAUCAACGAGCUAGUCUAGUAGAGGCUCACUAGGGACAUAUUAUUUGUUUAUGUAUUCACACAUGUAUUUAAGUUUCAGGUCAAUACAAUUCUAGCAUGAAUAAUAAAACUUUAUCAUGAACAAGGAAAUAUGACAACAAACAAUUUAUUAUUGCCUCUAGGACAUAUUUCUAACACAGGUCAUCCUUGAUUUCCUCCGGUCGGCCGAGUCGGCUGCGGAGGCAAGACGCUGUCGCUGGCAGGAGAUGGAGACGUAGCAGGCCGCGGAGGAAGCGAAGAUGCUCACCUACACGGAUGAGGUCGAGCAGGAGGAGGAUGAGCCGGAGCCCACCUCCUCGCCCGUCCAGCCGUCGCCCGGCACCGUCAUUAUGGACAUCUCCGACGACGAGACUAUCUAGGACAGUACAUAAUAUGUAGUACAUAGGAUUUCUUUACAUGAUUUGUAUGGAUCUAGGGGAUGAAAUAUGAGAGAGACAGAUGCAGAGUGGCUAAUUUGAGAUAUGACUGGUCACUGUCCGCGGACGCGCUCAAUCACGUCCGCGGGCAUUUGAGGAGCCGAAUUUGCAAAGUCCGACGGUAGAUGCUCUAAGAGGGGAAAAGUGAAAUGUCAAAAUUUUAAAUGACAAAGAAAAAUUGGCAAAAUCUAAAGUAGCAAAACAAAAUUUUUCCUCUCCUAUUGGGUGCAUAACGAUAAGAAAAAAAGCUGCCGACUUCUGCUUUGCGGCUUCCCCACUCCAGAAAUGUUGUGGUGCAUACAUGCAAGUAGUCGAUCUCGUAACAUAAUCUAUUCUCGUGUCCGGAACAGUAUUGGUCCAAUUUGGCGGUAUCCAAUCAUCAUCUUAGUUUUCUACUUACUCCCUCCGUUCUUAAAUGUAAGUCUUUUUAGAGAUUUCACUACAAACUACAUACGGAUGUAUAUAGACAUAUUUUAGAGUGUAGAUUCACUCAUUUUGAUCCGUAUAUAGUCCAUAGUAGAAUCUCUAAAAAGACUUAUAAGACUUAUAUUUAGGAACGGAGGGAGUACUUUUCUCCUCUGUUCGUGUCACUGAUUUGACAGCUCUCGCGGAAACAUGAAGCUAUUGCCAAUUCGACAGGACGAACGCCGAAGGUAGGCACACGCAUGCAUGAAGCCAUGUCGCAGUCACGUUCCGUAGACAUGCUCGCUGUGAAAAAUCUGCUCCGGCCGUCACAUUCGCGAGGCACGUUGUUUGUCUACACCCACUUAUUGAUCAGCGUACGCAGGCCGGUAAAAUAAUCUUCCGUAUGCCACGCACAGUGACUAGUACAGUACGUAUAUUAUUUACAGCCAGAUGAGAUGUCAAUCAACUGGAUUUUCUAUGAUUCUGCAGCUAGCACAGCAAUCUUCACUCGGUCAACUGCUGCGCUUUACCCCUCAGAUGGCUCCCGUCCUCACUAAUCAUGCUCUUCUCCACACAAACCUGGCUCAGCUUUCCGAGCCCGAUCAUUGUGUUCUCUUUACCCAAUGGAAUCAUGCCAGCCAGACCGCCAGCUGACCGUGUGAGCGGAGAUAAUGCAUCGAUAGUCCAUCUGCGCCGGCCGCGCGCAACGCAUGGUGAUAAAACAAAACUAUAGAGCAGCCGUUAUACGUCCGAAUACGGAGUUCCAGCGAGGCAGAGAUCGAGAUAACCAUGCAUGCAGGGCUAUUUUACUCGCCUUGUGAUGGACGUGGAAGCUGGCAGCGCGCAAAGUCCUUGAUUUGAUCAUGGGCAGCUAGCUAGCAGAUCCGUGCCAUCCGGACAGAUAGCUUAAAUCUGAUACUAGUACCAGAUCUCCAUCGUGUGAGUUUGGAAUUUUCGGUCGUGCGUUAUUGGCUGACGUGUUUUAGGGCAUGCAUCCUUAUCAGGCCACGUACGGCCUGGGAUAUGCAUCGCUGACUCAGAGGCAAAUCGCAAAGUGUAACCACUGACCAAGAGAUGAGAAGUGGUAGAGCAGAGCACGUAACGAUCGAGCCGCUGGUUGGCAUAGCCAUCCUCGGUUGGUAGAGCCGAGUAUGGCGUUCGUCGACCCGGGGUUGCUAAAACGCAUGGCACGAAGAAUUCCGUUGCAGUAAAAGCAUCCCUCGAUUGGAUGCACAUUUUAAAAAAAUUCCGAUGAUACAUUUUUUGUGACAUAUAAGUAUAUAACCCAUAUUUUGUUGACCAAAAUUAUAGGUCAAGCUUUGACAAAAAGAAACAAAGUGACAUUGUAUAAAAAAGACGAAGAAAGUGUCUAAUCAGACCCCUCAAAUCAAAUGGCUGUAAGAUCGGCUCGUCGAGUUGUCAGAGCGGUCGGGCCUGGGUAGCAGAUGUGUUCAUUUUUCAACAUGAAAGGCGAGACGACAGGAACGUAAAAUGGCCGACCAUGCAUGCAUAGAGAUAUACAGUACUCUAUUACUCCCUCCGUUCCGAGUUACUUGUCGCAAGUAUGGAUGUAUCUAGAUGUAUUUUGGUUCUAGAUAUAACUAUUUCUGCGACGAGUAAUUUAAAACGGAAGGAGUACAUAUGUUAUGUUCGAUUUGUUUAGAUACAAAUAUAACUUGGGAUGGAGGGAGUAUAGAUUAAUAUUAAAGAGUACCCUCUCCGUUUGAAAAUGUUUGUUCCUCAAAUGGAUGUAUCUAGCACUCCAUUCAUUUGAGGAACAAGUUUGGGACAAGUUUUUUCGGACGGAGAGAGUACAUUAGUAUUUUCUUCGUCUCAAAAAGCUCGUUUUUGAUCUGUCAGAUACGGAUGUGUCUAGACACAUUUUAGUGUUAGAUACAUCCAUAUUUAGAUAAAUACUUCCUUCGCGAAGAAAUAUAAGAACGUUACGAGUAGUAUUACGAAAUAAAGUGCCAAUUUCGUGCUCGAAAAAAUGCAAAGCUGCAGCGUCCGUUGCACACGCAGACACACACACCCACACAGGACGGCCCGUGGCGCACGCAGGCUCCGGCCAAGACGGGCGGCUCACGGCUGCGACCGCGAGGCCCCGGAUCGGGACGCGCCGAGCCACCGCCACGAACCGCUCGCUGCGUCGCCAUCGACGGUCCAAGCUUUCUCCAACCCCAGUUCGUGGACGGAUCGAUCCCGCCCGCCACGCAGGCACCCGCAUUAUCGUCCAGAUACGACGACGCCCUGCCCACGCCCCGGGCCCAGGUUCACUCGCCACGCCUCCGGCCUCCCUUCCCUCCUAUAGCCAUCCGCACGCAUCGCGAGGCGCGUCCCGCGGCAUCCCCUCCGCCCACGUGGCGGCAGCCAAAGUUAGCCUCCCCUCUAUAAUUACCCCCGUCUCCCGGGCGGGCAGUCCCACCACCAUCUCUCUCCUCUCCUCUGCUCCCUUCCUCUGUCCCUCUCGCACAGCAGAAGAGAACUCCUACCCUCCGGUGAGUCAGCACUGAGCUCGGCUCCCUGCUCCGUCAGCUGCUCUCCGGCGGCUGGCACCGGGAGCGGCGUUUUCCUUCAGGCAGGGGGUUAACUAAUUUGGGCGUCCUGAGAUCACAGAUGGCCGCAGCGGUGGCUGACGCGGCGGUGCCGGCGGUGGCGAAGGCGAACGGCGCCGGGGCGGGGUGCUGCGCGGCGAAGGGCCCCGGGUACGCCACGCCCAGGGAGGCCAUGGAGAAGGGCCCGCGGGAGGGGCUCCUCUACGUCACCUGCGUCUACAAUGGUACCAAUCCUUCCUUCCGCCCGACCCUCCUCUUCCAAGUACCAAGUUCCAACACUGGAAAAAAGGCCACUCAUACGCACGGCCAACGCACGCGCACACCGCUGACACCCGCACUGCGGUUGGCGCUUAGAUCUCAGCGAGCAAUUAUGAUUCCGUUACAGGUUCUUAUAAUUAAAGUAUAAGGACGUAGAGUAGUACAACAACAACAGCAGCAGAAGCAGGAGCUUGCACAGGCUUGACUUAACCUGGACUGGACUGAGAAUCCGAGAUGGACAUGCCACUUAAUUUAAUCCUGGAAGUCUCUUUCUAAUGUACUCAGAUUCCAUAUUACUCCUAAUCGAGAAAGUGAGACUUCCAGGAUUAAAAUCCUAGUAAUAUUUGAAUCAAAUGAGUAAACAUAUUAAAUUCCUAAUAUGGGUGUCAGAGAUGACUAAAUGAGGACAAGAAGAAUAUUGGCAUAUGCUUUGCUAUUCUAACUUCCUAAUAAUAAGCCUUGGUCCACGCAAAAAAGAAAAGAGAGCCUUGGUUCAGAUCUCCAAUUACUCUGCAUAUGGCAGUUUCUUUUCGUCAGAGAUGUGCAAUUUUUCGUGCUAUGGUGUAGACACUGGGCUGGAGUAUUUUUAGCCCGUCCAACUUAAUGUAAUGGGUGUAAUGUAGUGUCUAACCAUAUAGACCGGCUUUAAUUCUGAUAUGUACUGCUACUACUGUACAUAUGCACGCAGCAUGCAUGUGCCCUCCAUGGCAGAAACUGCCAUUUGCUGUUACACAAGUGUCCAAGUUGGCUGAGUCGUGGAUCAUUCAGAACCGUCUAGUUCAGUCCCUGUCUGUUUCUGAGCUUCACAUGGCCUGUCUUCAUGGCAGUUUCUGAAGGCAGAACAAACCAUGUGAGCAUGAGAAGAGAUGUACGGGUGUGCCUUUGUACAGGUUGAUUGCCUGAUUGUGUGAAGUCUUGCUGAUUGCCUGAUUGAACUGAAUUUUGCAGGUACUGGAAUCAACAAGCCGGAUUACCUGGCUACAGUGGACGUCGACCCCAAUUCAGCGACCUACUCCCAGGUGAUCCACAGGCUCCCGGCCACCCACAUCGGCGACGAGCUGCAUCACUCCGGCUGGAACGCUUGCAGCUCCUGCCAUGGUGAUCCAUCCACGAGCCGGCGCUUCUUGAUUCUCCCUUCGUUGCUGUGAGUAAUCAGAUGAAUGAACGGUUGAAUUUUAGCUCAGUUUUGAAAUGCUGAUCUGCUGGUUGUUCACAGGUCUGGUCGCGUGUAUGUGGUCGACACUGCAAAGGAUCCGAGGGCGCCUGCUCUGCACAAGGUUGUCCAGGCUGAGGACAUUGCUGAGAAGACCGGGCUUGGGUUCCCUCACACAUCCCAUUGCCUUGCAACUGGGGAUAUCAUGAUUUCCUGCCUGGGAGACAAGGAGGGCAAUGCUGCUGGCAAUGGCUUUCUCCUGUUGGAUUCAGAGUUUAACGUCAAAGGGCGGUAAGUUUUUUGCCCACAAUCUGGGUACCAUUGACAUGGAAACAUAACAUAUGCUCAAAAUGCAUGCUGUAACAUAUUGUCACUUCAUCAUGAAACCAUCUCAGCAUAUCAGAAUCAUCCAACCACUCCAUCCUGAUUUACAUAUUACAAAAUCUUCAGUAAUAUUUCAGCUUUGAAAAACUUUAGUACUCCUAUUAUUGAUGCCUUACUUUUCCGAAACAGACAGUUUUCAGUGGCUCCAACUGUACUGAUUUAACUAUUUGCUACUUGUAGUUGGGAAAAGCCAGGUCACAGCCCCUUGUUUGGCUAUGAUUUCUGGUACCAGCCUCGUCACAAGACGAUGAUUAGCUCUUCAUGGGGAGCUCCGGCAGCUUUCAGGACAGGUUUCGAUCUCCAGCAUGUCCAGGAUGGUCUCUAUGGAAGGCACCUGCAUGUGUAUGACUGGCCUGGUGGUGAGCUCAAGCAGACACUGGAUCUAGGCAGCACAGGUCUUCUUCCACUGGAGGUGUGUAUCAACUAUCAAGUACCAAGAGUAUAGGGGUCUAAUAAUUAUCCUAUAACCAUAGUUCUCUUUUUAUCUUCUCUGCAGGUGAGGUUUUUACAUGACCCAUCAAAGGACACUGGCUAUGUUGGCUGUGCUUUGACAAGCAACAUGGUGAGAUUCUUCAAAACUGCAGAUGGAUCAUGGAGCCAUGAGGUUUGUCCGCAAUGACAUGCUAAUGCCUACUUCUUUCACACAUAAUGAAGUUUAUUUUCAUUUUAUUUACACUUCUUGUGCCUGUAUUUGUAGGUAGCUAUAUCCAUAGAGCCACUGAAGGUGCGCAACUGGAUGCUGCCAGAAAUGCCAGGAUUGAUAACUGACUUUGUCAUCUCUCUCGAUGACCGUUAUCUCUACUUGGUCAACUGGCUUCAUGGGGAUAUCAGGCAGUACAACAUUGAGGACCCUGCAAAGCCUGUGUUGGCUGGGCAAGUAUUUGUAGGUGGGCUUCUUCAAAAGGGCAGUGAUGUUGUCUAUGUGACCGACGAUGACAAAGAAGAGCAGUAUGCUGUGCCCCAAGUCAAGGUAAACUCUACAGUACUCCUCUUAAAUCUUAAUGGCUUGGUACAUAAGUUACAUUCUUCAGAAUAUCUUCUGUAUCUUUUAUUAAAAAAUAACCAGAGUUACAAUUCAAUACUGGUUAUAUAUAGUUCAACUGAUGGGUGAUUCAAGUACCAACUGGAACACAUCCAGCUUGCAAUGCUGCUAUACUUAUUCUCAACUAAACCGAAUGAUCCAAUGAAACUGCAAUAUUUGGAACAUACUCCUUCCGUCCCAAAAUUCUUGUCUUAGAUUUUUCUAAAUAGGGAUGUAUCAACUCACGUUUUAGUAUUAGAUACAUCCAUAUCUAGACAAAUCUAAGACAAGAAUUUUGGGACGGAGGGAGUAUUUAUUUCUAGUCACUCAACAUUACUCUGACAUACCAUGUGUCUUGUAUUCAGGGGCACCGGCUUAGAGGUGGGCCGCAGAUGAUUCAGCUGAGCUUGGAUGGCAAGAGGGUCUAUGUAACCAACUCUCUCUUCAGCCGAUGGGACGAGCAGUUCUAUGGCCCUGACCUUCUCAAGAAGGGAUCUCACAUGUUGCAGAUCGACGUCGACACCGAGGAAGGAGGGCUGACUGUCAACCCCGACUUCUUUGUGGAUUUUGGCACCGAGCCUGAAGGUCCCUCAUUGGCCCAUGAAAUGAGAUAUCCUGGGGGAGACUGCACCUCUGACAUAUGGAUCUAGGACGAAGGGUGUAGGGUGCAUAUGCAGCUGGAGAUCCAUGGUGUUAAGCUCACUGUAAUUAAGAUGGUUUCUUCCCUGCCUGCGGUGUUGUAUGUGAUGUGGUAUCAAUUGGAAUAAGUUCCUGAUAGAACCUCUGACAUUGGCUUCAUGGGAGCUUGUGCCCUAAUAAGAGUUGCCUCUGAUUCUGAAAUUUCUGAUGCUUUUGUAGGCCUUAUAUCUUCUGCUUGAAAUGUUCUAAACGAG